This 254-nucleotide ribosomal RNA is filed under the name uncultured bacterium. RNAcentral's name for it is "partial 16S ribosomal RNA". It matches the Rfam family "Bacterial small subunit ribosomal RNA", at positions 524 to 776 of the family's 1533-position model. The record is from RNAcentral.
UACGAAGGGGGCUAGCGUUGCUCGGAAUCACUGGGCGUAAAGAGCUUGUAGGCGGUUUGUCGCGUCUGCUGUGAAAAUCCGGGGCUCAACCCCGGACUUGCAGUGGGUACGGGCAGACUAGAGUGUGGUAGGGGAGACUGGAAUUCCUGGUGUAGCGGUCGAAAUGCGCAGAUAUCAGGAGGAACACCGGUGGCGAAGGCGGUUCUCUGGGCCACUACUGACGCUGAGAAGCGAAAGCAUGGGGAGCAAACAGG